UAGAGGUUCUAUUCAUUCUAUUUACCAGUCAUAUUACCAGGGUUAUAGGUUCUAUUCAUUCUAUUUACCAGUCAUAUUACCAGGGUUAUAGGUUCUAUUCAUUCUAUUUACCAGUCAUAUUACCAGGGUUAUAGGUUCUAUUCAUUCUAUUUACCAGUCAUAUUACCAGGGUUAUAGGUUCUAUUCAUUCUAUUUACCAGUCAUAUUACCAGGGUUAUAGGUUCUAUUCAUUCUAUUUACCAGUCAUAUUACCAGGGUUAUAGGUUCUAUUCAUUCUAUUUACCAGUCAUAUGACCAGGGUUAUAGGUUCUAUUCAUUCUAUUUACCAGUCAUAUUACCAGGGUUAUAGGUUCUAUUCAUUCUAUUUACCAGUCAUAUUACCAGGGUUAGAGGUUCUAUUCAUUCUAUUUACCAGUCAUAUUACCAGGGUUAUAGGUUCUAUUCAUUCUAUUUACCAGUCAUAUUACCAGGGUUAUAGGUUCUAUUCAUUCUAUUUACCAGUCAUAUGACCAGGGUUAUAGGUUCUAUUCAUUCUAUUUACCAGUCAUAUUACCAGGGUUACAGGUUCUAUUCAUUCUAUUUACCAGUCAUAUUACCAG
Molecule: long non-coding RNA, 599 nt
Organism: Oncorhynchus keta (chum salmon)
Lineage: Eukaryota; Metazoa; Chordata; Actinopteri; Salmoniformes; Salmonidae
Exons: 6
Source: RefSeq, a predicted model, not a curated record